Molecule: long non-coding RNA, 671 nt
Organism: Felis catus (domestic cat)
Lineage: Eukaryota; Metazoa; Chordata; Mammalia; Carnivora; Felidae
Exons: 2
Source: RefSeq, a predicted model, not a curated record
GGUGGCUGUGGCAGGAGGCUGAGUCAGAGGCACUGUCAGGGCUGAGAGCAAGGGAACAGACCUGCCUCUAGUGCCCGGUGACUUGCAAGCCACAGGAGGGGAGCAGCCUGUGUCAUCAGCGAGCCUGUAAACACCCUCCAAGGACAGCAAGGCCCCUGCUUGUCUUGGAUCCGACCACAGGCCCAUCCCAGGGAUUUGGGGUCAGAGCGCUUAAUAAAUCAUCCUGCCCAGCACAUGCAAGCCUGGAGCCCUCCUCCUGGCUUUCUGAGAUCUGACCUCUGCCGACCUCUCCCACCCACCUCCCUCUUGCCAGGCCAGAGGCCGGUGAAUUUCUCGAACACACAAUUCUCUUCCUGCCUCUCCAGGACUGUGCACAGGCUGUUCCCUCCACCUGGAAUGUUCUCUCCCUUUCUCCAGGCUUCACCAAGAUAAUGCUUCCGGCUGGUUCAAAUUUCGGCUCAAAGAUCACCUCCUUCUCUGUUCUUCCAGCAAAGGCAGACGAGAAGGCUGGCACUGUGGCCUCCACCUUGGAUCAUGAAGAUGGCAGAGUUGUGACCAGGAAGGAGCCUGGGACACUGAGAGCUUUGUGGAGUCUUCAAACCAGCCCUGAACUGCCUACAUCUGGACCUCAUUCACACAAGAGAAAAAUAAACUCUUUUAUUUAUUGUUGA